AUGAAGGGGGAAGUUGUCUUGGCUGUCAAAGAAUUCUUCCGCAUAGGACAUAUGCGAGAUGACGUAAAUGACACGGUAAUGGUGCUUAUUCCAAAAGUUGACCAUCCGAUCCGGCUUACAGAUUUCGGACCAAUAAGUCUCUGCAAUGUCAUUUAUAAAAUUGCCGUGAAGUGCUUGGUAAAUAGGUUGCAACUGAUUACUGAUAAUGCGAUGUUAGCCUUUGAGUGCCUGCAUUUUAUUCAGCAUGGGGAAAAACCAGAAAAUAGCUUCUGUGCAUACAAACUGAUCUUUCAAAAGCAUAUGAUAGGGUGGAGUAGGGGUUACUUGGAGAAAGCAGUGAUCAAGUUGGCCUUCUCUCAUCAGUGGGUACAAUGGAUAAUGUCAUGUGUUACCUCGGUAAGAUAUUCCGUCAAACUUAAUGGAGCCAUCUUGGAUUCCUUUGCACCGUCGCAUGCUCUUCGGCAAGGUGACCCCCUGUCUCCUUUCUUAAUUUUUUUGUGGUUGAUGGUUUAUCCGCGUUGUUGA
This 525-nucleotide ribosomal RNA is filed under the name Triticum aestivum (bread wheat). RNAcentral's name for it is "partial small subunit ribosomal RNA". The record is from RNAcentral. Lineage: Eukaryota; Viridiplantae; Streptophyta; Magnoliopsida; Poales; Poaceae.